RNAcentral lists this ribosomal RNA (796 nucleotides) under Pusillomyces asetosus. RNAcentral's name for it is "eukaryotic LSU rRNA". The stretch from base 268 to 421 matches the Rfam family "5.8S ribosomal RNA". The record is from RNAcentral. Lineage: Eukaryota; Fungi; Basidiomycota; Agaricomycetes; Agaricales; Omphalotaceae.
AGGAUCAUUAAUGAAUGCUUUUGGGAAAGGGUUGCUGCUGGCUGUAACAGGCAUGUGCACGCUCUUUUCUGAAUCCCUCUUCAUCCACCUGUGCACUUUUGUAUGGAAGUCUUUUUUAAGUUUUAUGCGGACUUUGUAGAGCUAAGGCUUUGCAAGUUAAAGGUCAAGCCUCUGAAAUUGGGAAAAGCUUCUAUAUCUUUUAUAUACCCAAUGUAUGUCUAGAAUGUAACUUUUACUGGGACUUAAGUGACCCUUUAAAAUUUGUACAACUUUCAGCAACGGAUCUCUUGGCUCUCCCAUCGAUGAAGAACGCAGCGAAUUGCGAUAUCUAAUGUGAAUUGCAGAAUUCAGUGAAUCAUCGAGUCUUUGAACGCACCUUGCGCCCUCUGGUAUUCCGGAGGGCAUGCCUGUUUGAGUGUCAUUAAAUUCUCAACCUUACAAGGCUUGUCCUUGUAAGGCUUGGAUGUGGAGGUUUGCUGGUGUCUUUUAAAGACGUUUCCGGCUCCUCUGAAAUUCAUUAGUUGGUUUUGUCCUUUUUCUUAACCAAACCUUGGUGUGAUAAUUAUCUACGCUUUGGUGUUCAUUGGUUCAAGAGUUAGGGUAGUGCAUUAGUUUGUCUCUACCUGUUGUCUAUCAAGAGUUUUGCAUUAGAUUGCUUUACUUGGAUAGGGAAGUCUAUCGAGUGGCGGUUGCAUUGAGUUGCUCUGCCCGGAUAGCAAGGACAUUGAAUGCUAGCUUUCUAACUGUCUUCGGACACUUUUGACUAUUUGACCUCAAAUCAGGUAGGAUUACCCGC